Non-coding RNA from Acanthosepion pharaonis, 111 nucleotides. Lineage: Eukaryota; Metazoa; Mollusca; Cephalopoda; Sepiida; Sepiidae. The record is from the annotation of a GenBank genome assembly.
UGGCCAUAUAUAAUUGAAACACCGGUUUUUGUAUGAUCACCAAAGUUAAGUGAUGUCAAGCCUGGUUAGUACCUAGAUGAGUAACCAUUUGUGAAUACCAGGUGCUGUAAG